RNAcentral lists this ribosomal RNA (532 nucleotides) under Staphylococcus aureus. Its description in RNAcentral is "partial 23S ribosomal RNA". It matches the Rfam family "Bacterial large subunit ribosomal RNA", at positions 1 to 525 of the family's 2925-position model. The record is from RNAcentral. Lineage: Bacteria; Bacillati; Bacillota; Bacilli; Caryophanales; Staphylococcaceae.
AGAUUAAGUUAUUAAGGGCGCACGGUGGAUGCCUUGGCACUAGAAGCCGAUGAAGGACGUUACUAACGACGAUAUGCUUUGGGGAGCUGUAAGUAAGCUUUGAUCCAGAGAUUUCCGAAUGGGGAAACCCAGCAUGAGUUAUGUCAUGUUAUCGAUAUGUGAAUACAUAGCAUAUCAGAAGGCACACCCGGAGAACUGAAACAUCUUAGUACCCGGAGGAAGAGAAAGAAAAUUCGAUUCCCUUAGUAGCGGCGAGCGAAACGGGAAGAGCCCAAACCAACAAGCUUGCUUGUUGGGGUUGUAGGACACUCUAUACGGAGUUACAAAGGACGACAUUAGACGAAUCAUCUGGAAAGAUGAAUCAAAGAAGGUAAUAAUCCUGUAGUCGAAAAUGUUGUCUCUCUUGAGUGGAUCCUGAGUACGACGGAGCACGUGAAAUUCCGUCGGAAUCUGGGAGGACCAUCUCCUAAGGCUAAAUACUCUCUAGUGACCGAUAGUGAACCAGUACCGUGAGGGAAAGGUGAAAAGCACC